RNAcentral lists this ribosomal RNA (623 nucleotides) under Pseudomonas fluorescens. RNAcentral describes it as "bacterial SSU rRNA". It matches the Rfam family "Bacterial small subunit ribosomal RNA", at positions 78 to 692 of the family's 1533-position model. Lineage: Bacteria; Pseudomonadati; Pseudomonadota; Gammaproteobacteria; Pseudomonadales; Pseudomonadaceae. The record is from RNAcentral.
GCUUGCUCCUUUGAUUCAGCGGCGGACGGGUGAUUUUUUGCCUAGGAAUCUGCCUGGUAGUGGGGGACAACGUUUCGAAAGGAACGCUAAUACCGCAUACGUCCUACGGGAGAAAGCAGGGGACCUUCGGGCCUUGCGCUAUCAGAUGAGCCUAGGUCGGAUUAGCUAGUAGGUGAGGUAAUGGCUCACCUAGGCGACGAUCCGUAACUGGUCUGAGAGGAUGAUCAGUCACACUGGAACUGAGACACGGUCCAGACUCCUACGGGAGGCAGCAGUGGGGAAUAUUGGACAAUGGGCGAAAGCCUGAUCCAGCCAUGCCGCGUGUGUGAAGAAGGUCUUCGGAUUGUAAAGCACUUUAAGUUGGGAGGAAGGGUUGUACGCUAAUACCGUGCAAUUUUGACGUUACCCACAGAAUAAGCACCGGCUAACUCUGUGCCAGCAGCCGCGGUAAUACAGAGGGUGCAAGCGUUUAAUCGGAAUUACUGGGCGUAAAGCGCGCGUAGGUGGUUCGUUAAGUUGGAUGUGAAAGCCCCGGGCUCAACCUGGGAAACUGCAUCCCAAACUGGCGAGCUAGAGUAUGGUAGAGGGUGGUGGAAUUUCCCUGUGUAACGGUGAAAUGCGUA